GAUGAACGCUGGCUACAGGCUUAACACAUGCAAGUCGAGGGGAAACGACGGGGAAGCUUGCUUCCCCGGGCGUCGACCGGCGCACGGGUGAGUAACGCGUAUCCAACCUGCCUCUGACUGAGGGAUAACCGUUCGAAAUUGGGCCUAAUACCUCAUGCCUUCGUCUGCGGCCAUCCACCACGGAUUAAAGAUUUAAUCGUUCAGAGAUGGGGAUGCGUCUGAUUAGCUUGUUGGCGGGUUAACGGCCCACAAAGGCGACGAUCAGUAGGGGUUCUGAGAGGAAGGUCCCCCACAUUGGAACUGAGACACGGUCCAAACUCCUACGGGAGGCAGCAGUGAGGAAUAUUGGUCAAUGGGCGAGAGCCUGAACCAGCCAAGUAGCGUGCAGGAUGACGGCCCUAUGGGUUGUAAACUGCUUUUAUGCGGGGAUAAAGUGAGGGACGUGUCCUUCAUUGCAGGUACCGCAUGAAUAAGGACCGGCUAAUUCCGUG
RNAcentral lists this ribosomal RNA (491 nucleotides) under uncultured bacterium. RNAcentral describes it as "partial 16S ribosomal RNA". It matches the Rfam family "Bacterial small subunit ribosomal RNA", at positions 28 to 507 of the family's 1533-position model. The record is from RNAcentral.